GAUGAACGCUGGCGGCGUGCCUAAUACAUGCAAGUCGAGCGAACAGAUGAGGAGCUUGCUCCUCUGACGUUAGCGGCGGACGGGUGAGUAACACGUGGAUAACCUACCUAUAAGACUGGGAUAACUUCGGGAAACCGGAGCUAAUACCGGAUAAUAUAUUGAACCGCAUGGUUCAAUAGUGAAAGACGGUUUUGCUGUCACUUAUAGAUGGAUCCGCGCCGCAUUAGCUAGUUGGUAAGGUAACGGCUUACCAAGGCAACGAUGCGUAGCCGACCUGAGAGGGUGAUCGGCCACACUGGAACUGAGACACGGUCCAGACUCCUACGGGAGGCAGCAGUAGGGAAUCUUCCGCAGUGGGCGAAAGCCUGACGGAGCAACGCCGCGUGAGUGAUGAAGGUCUUCGGAUCGUAAAACUCUGUUAUUAGGGAAGAACAAAUGUGUAAGUAACUAUGCACGUCUGGACGGUACCUAAUCAGAAAGCCACGGCUAACUACGU
RNAcentral lists this ribosomal RNA (496 nucleotides) under uncultured bacterium. RNAcentral describes it as "partial 16S ribosomal RNA". It matches the Rfam family "Bacterial small subunit ribosomal RNA", at positions 28 to 506 of the family's 1533-position model. The record is from RNAcentral.